CCUUUGUACACACCGCCCAUUGCUCUUACCGAUUGAAUGGCUCAGUGAGGCGUCCGGACUGGCCCAGAGAGGUGGGCAACUACCACUCAGGGCCGGAAAGCUCUCCAAACUCGGUCAUUUAGAGG
Molecule: ribosomal RNA, 125 nt
Filed under: Hypocreales sp.
Lineage: Eukaryota; Fungi; Ascomycota; Sordariomycetes; Hypocreales
Description: partial small subunit ribosomal RNA
Rfam family: Eukaryotic small subunit ribosomal RNA
Source: RNAcentral